UAGUGGCGAACGGGUGAGUAACACGUGGGCAAUCUGCCCUGCACUCUGGGACAAGCCCUGGAAACGGGGUCUAAUACCGGAUGACACUCUUUCCUGCAUGGGGAAGGGUUGAAAGCUCCGGCGGUGCAGGAUGAGCCCGCGGCCUAUCAGCUUGUUGGUGGGGUGAUGGCCUACCAAGGCGACGACGGGUAGCCGGCCUGAGAGGGCGACCGGCCACACUGGGACUGAGACACGGCCCAGACUCCUACGGGAGGCAGCAGUGGGGAAUAUUGCACAAUGGGCGAAAGCCUGAUGCAGCGACGCCGCGUGAGGGAUGACGGCCUUCGGGUUGUAAACCUCUUUCAGCAGGGAAGAAGCGAGAGUGACGGUACCUGCAGAAGAAGCGCCGGCUAACUACGUGCCAGCAGCCGCGGUAAUACGUAGGGCGCAAGCGUUGUCCGGAAUUAUUGGGCGUAAAGAGCUCGUAGGCGGUUUGUCACGUCGGAUGUGAAAGCCCGGGGCUUAACUCCGGGUCUGCAUUCGAUACCGGGCAGACUAGAGUGUGGUAGGGGGAGAUCGGAAUNCCU
RNAcentral lists this ribosomal RNA (566 nucleotides) under Streptomyces sp. 316F03. RNAcentral's name for it is "bacterial SSU rRNA". It matches the Rfam family "Bacterial small subunit ribosomal RNA", at positions 93 to 671 of the family's 1533-position model. Lineage: Bacteria; Bacillati; Actinomycetota; Actinomycetes; Kitasatosporales; Streptomycetaceae. The record is from RNAcentral.